Molecule: transfer RNA, 73 nt
Filed under: Bos taurus (domestic cattle)
Lineage: Eukaryota; Metazoa; Chordata; Mammalia; Artiodactyla; Bovidae
Rfam family: tRNA
About the family: Transfer RNA (tRNA) molecules are approximately 80 nucleotides in length. Their secondary structure includes four short double-helical elements and three loops (D, anti-codon, and T loops).
Source: Rfam by way of RNAcentral
UCCCUGGUGGUCCUGUGGUUAAGACUCUGCUCUGCCAAUGCAGGGGGCAUGGGUUCGAUCCCUGAUUGGGGAA